CCUGAUUAGCUAGUUGGUGAGGUAAAGGCUCACCAAGGCGACGAUCAGUAGCUGGUCUGAGAGGAUGAUCAGCCACACUGGAACUGAGACACGGUCCAGACUCCUACGGGAGGCAGCAGUGGGGAAUUUUGGACAAUGGGGGAAACCCUGAUCCAGCCAUUCCGCGUGAGUGAAGAAGGCCUUCGGGUUGUAAAGCUCUUUCAGGAGGGAAGAAACGGUUGCAGCUAAUACCUGCGACUAAUGACGGUACCUUCAGAAGAAGCACCGGCUAACUACGUGCCAGCAGCCGCGGUAAUACGUAGGGUGCGAGCGUUAAUCGGAAUUACUGGGCGUAAAGCGUGCGCAGGCGGUUUUGUAAGUCAGAUGUGAAAGCCCCGGGCUCAACCUGGGAACU
RNAcentral lists this ribosomal RNA (394 nucleotides) under uncultured bacterium. RNAcentral's name for it is "bacterial SSU rRNA". It matches the Rfam family "Bacterial small subunit ribosomal RNA", at positions 236 to 622 of the family's 1533-position model. The record is from RNAcentral.